GGACCGAACCAACCCCCGUUGAAAAGGUGGUGGAUGAGGUGUGGAUAGCGGAGAAAUUCCAAUCGAACUCGGAUAUAGCUGGUUCUCCCCGAAAUAGCUUUCGGGCUAGCCUCGUAUCGAUAUUACCGGAGGUAAAGCACUGAAUGGGCUAGGGGUCGAGAGAUUACUGAACCCUAUCAAACUAAGAAUGCCGGAUAAUAGAUGAACGGGAGUCAGACAGUGUGAGAUAAGUUUCAUUGUCAAGAGGGAAACAGCCCAGAUCCACAGCUAAGGUCCCAAAGUAUAGUUAAGUGGAGAAGGAUGUGGGAUCGCAGAAACAACCAGGACGUUGGCUCAGAAGCAGCCAUACAUUUAAAGAGUGCGUAAUAGCUCACUGGUCGAGUGGUCCUGCGCCGAAAAUGUAACGGGUCUAAACUAUACACCGAAGCUUGGGCUUGCACAAAUGUGCAGGGGUAGGGGAGCGUUGUGUGCGGGGUGAAGCAUGAGCGGAAGCGCGUGUGGACUGCACAGAAGUGAGAAUGCCGGAAUGAGUAGCGCGAAUUAUGUGAGAAUCAUAAUGGCCGAAAGCCUAAGGUUUCUGGAGGAAGGUUCGUCCGCUCCAGGUUAGCCGGGAGCUAAGGUGAGGCCGAAAGGCGUAGCCGAUGCACAUACGGUGGAGAUUCCGUAGCCAUCGAAGGAUUUAAGCAGAGGGACACAGGGAAAGAGCUCUUCCCGGGCGUUGGUAGCCCCGGGCGAAAGGGACCGAAAUUAGAGUAGGGAAGAAGAGCAUGGCCCCUGGCGAGAAAAGCUCUGUGGAUAUCCAAGAUGCCCGUACCGCAAACCGACACAGGUAGGUAGGAAGAGGAUUCUAAGGCCAACGGGAGAAGGGUUGUUAAGGAACUCGGCAAGUUGACCCCGUAACUUCGGGAGAAGGGGUGCUCUGGAAACAGAGCCGCAGAGAAUAGGUCCAGGCAACUGUUUAGCAAAAACACAGCUCUCUGCUAAAUCGAAAGAUGACGUAUAGGGGGUGACGCCUGCCCGGUGCUGGAAGGUUAAGAGGAGGAGUGAGAGCCCCGAAUCGAAGCCCCAGUAAACGGCGGCCGUAACUAUAACGGUCCUAAGGUAGCGAAAUUCCUUGUCAGGUAAGUUCUGACCCGCACGAAAGGCGUAAUGAUCUGGACACUGUCUCAACAGCCCACCCGGCGAAAUUGUAGUACCGGUGAAGAUGCCGGUUACCCGCGACAAGACGGAAAGACCCCAUGGAGCUUUACUGCAGCCUAAUAUUGGAUUUCGGUAUUUCAUGUACAGGAUAGGUGGGAGACUGAGAAGUCAGGGCGUCAGCUUUGAUGGAGUCACCCUUGGGAUACCACCCUUGGAGUGCUGGAAUUCUAACCUGUGGCCAUGAAUCUGGUCAGGGGACAUUGUUAGGCGGGCAGUUUGACUGGGGCGGUCGCCUCCAAAAGAGUAACGGAGGCGCUCAAAGGUUUGCUCAGCAUGGCCGGAAACCAUGCCUUAGAGUGUAAACGCAAAAGCAAGCCUAACUGCGAGACCGACGGGUCGAGCAGUAACGAAAGUUGGAGUUAGUGAUCCGGUGGUAUG
This 1578-nucleotide ribosomal RNA is filed under the name wastewater metagenome. Its description in RNAcentral is "bacterial LSU rRNA". It matches the Rfam family "Bacterial large subunit ribosomal RNA", at positions 771 to 2430 of the family's 2925-position model. The record is from RNAcentral.